CAAUAGCGUAUAUUAAAGUUGUUGCGGUUAAAAAGCUCGUAGUUGGAUUUCUGCUGAGAACGACCGGUCCGCCCUUUGGGUGUGUAUCUGGCUCUUUCUUGGCAUCUUCUUGGUGAACGUUGCUGCACUUGACUGUGUGGAGCGCUACCCAGGACUUUUACUUUGAGGAAAUUAGAGUGUUUCAAGCAGGCAUACGCCUUGAAUACAUUAGCAUGGAAUAAUAAGAUAGGACCUCGGUUCUAUUUUGUUGGUUUCUAGGGCUAAGAUAAUGAUUAAUAGGGAUAAUUGGGGGCAUCUGUAUCAACGCGUCAGAGGUGGAAUUCUUGGAUUGCGUUGCGACAAACUACUGCGAAAGCAUUUGCCAAGGAUGUUUUCAUUGA
Molecule: ribosomal RNA, 380 nt
Filed under: uncultured eukaryote
Lineage: Eukaryota
Description: partial 18S ribosomal RNA
Rfam family: Eukaryotic small subunit ribosomal RNA
Source: RNAcentral